RNAcentral lists this RNase P RNA (309 nucleotides) under Planctomycetota bacterium. RNAcentral describes it as "RNase P RNA component class A". It matches the Rfam family "Bacterial RNase P class A", at positions 18 to 314 of the family's 367-position model. Rfam says of the family: Ribonuclease P (RNase P) is a ubiquitous endoribonuclease, found in archaea, bacteria and eukarya as well as chloroplasts and mitochondria. Its best characterised activity is the generation of mature 5'-ends of tRNAs by cleaving the 5'-leader elements of precursor-tRNAs. Lineage: Bacteria; Pseudomonadati; Planctomycetota. The record is from RNAcentral.
CACCCUCCGCGACACAGGGAGGAAAGUCCGGGCAGGAUAGGGCGCGGUGGUGGCUAACGACCACCGGGAGUAAUCCCAGGGAAAGUGCCGCAGAAACGAUACCGCCGAUUCGUCGGUAAGGGUGAAAUGGUGCGGUAAGAGCGCACCGCGGUGUUGGUGACAACACUGGCAGGGUAAACCCCACCGCCUGCAAGACCAAGCAGCUGAGCGGGCCUUCGGGCCUCGUACCCGGCCCGGGUAUCAACAGCGGGUAGGUUGCUUUGCGCAGCGGCGCAAGAGCCGGCUGGCGACAGUCGGUCCAGAUAAAUG